Molecule: ribosomal RNA, 736 nt
Filed under: Gammaproteobacteria bacterium
Lineage: Bacteria; Pseudomonadati; Pseudomonadota; Gammaproteobacteria
Also listed under: 1 other name
Description: partial 23S ribosomal RNA
Rfam family: Bacterial large subunit ribosomal RNA
Source: RNAcentral
AAGUUUAUGGAUAAGCUACUAAGGGCUAACGGCGGAUGCCUUGGCAUCGGGAGGCGAUGAAGGACGUGGCAAGCUGCGAUAAGCUUCGGGGAGCCGUUAACAGGCUUUGAUCCGGAGAUUUCCGAAUGGGGAAACCCACUGGGAGUAAUAUCCCAUUAUCUUUAACUGAAUACAUAGGUUAAAGAGGCGAACGCGGGGAACUGAAACAUCUAAGUACCUGCAGGAAAAGAAAUCAAUUGAGAUUCCGUGAGUAGCGGCGAGCGAAAGCGGAAUAGCCCAAACCGGGUGAUUUAUCAUCCGGGGUUGUAGGACCCCAAUGUGGGAUUGAUGAUGGAUAGUAGAACGGUAUGGAAAGGCCGACCAUAGACGGUGAUAGUCCGGUAUACGAAAUCUUGAUUCACCCUAGGGUGUUCCUGAGUACCACGAGACACGUGAAACCUUGUGGGAAUCUGGGAGGACCAUCUUCCNNNNNNNNNNNNNNNNNNNNNNNNNNNCCGAUGACCGAUAGUGAACGAGUACCGUGAGGGAAAGGUGAAAAGAACCCCGGGAGGGGAGUGAAAUAGAAACUGAAACCGUUAGCUUACAAGCAGUCGGAGCACUAUGUGCUUGCACAGUGUGACCGCGUGCCUUUUGCAUAAUGAGUCAACGACUUACCCUGUGCAGCGAGGUUAAGCCGCGAGGUGGAGCCGUAGCGAAAGCGAGUCUUAACUGGGCGAAUUAGUUGCAUGGGGUAGAC